AUUACUGAAGACACUCCACAGGUUAUGGCUGAGAAACUUGAUUAUAUGUUAACUAGGCAGUAUGAUUUACUUGUUUGUAGAGUUUGAAUUUUUAAUUUAUGGCUAGAAAGUUUUAGAAUGGGAGGCUUAGACUGUGCAUGAAAUUUUAUUGCUAGAUGACUGAUAUAUAUUCCUCCAUCAUCUCAGGUCCCAAUUAAUCCAUAUGGA
This 207-nucleotide unclassified non-coding RNA is filed under the name Hevea brasiliensis (rubber tree). The record is from RNAcentral. Lineage: Eukaryota; Viridiplantae; Streptophyta; Magnoliopsida; Malpighiales; Euphorbiaceae.